This is a non-coding RNA of Caenorhabditis elegans, 21 nucleotides long. The record is from Ensembl. NCBI's taxonomy places the organism in Eukaryota, Metazoa, Nematoda, Chromadorea, Rhabditida, Rhabditidae.
UGCAAUGAAUUGAAUGUUCUU